Molecule: ribosomal RNA, 410 nt
Filed under: Lernanthropus sillaginis
Lineage: Eukaryota; Metazoa; Arthropoda; Copepoda; Siphonostomatoida; Lernanthropidae
Description: partial 16S ribosomal RNA
Rfam family: Archaeal large subunit ribosomal RNA
Source: RNAcentral
ACGGCUUAAGGUAGCGUAAUAAUUAGUUUAAUAAUUUUAUUCAAGUAUGAAGAAUAAACUAUGAACUUAUUUCUUCGAAUUUUUGUUGAAUUUUAAUUUUCAUUGAAAAUGAUGAAAUAAUUUAAAAAGACGAUAAGACCCUAGAAUCUUUACUAAGUUUUAUUGGGAUAAUAAAUUUUUUUAAUAAAAAUCUUAUAAAAUAAUAAUAAUGAACCAUAAUAACGUUUCAAGAAGAAGAUACUCUAGGGAUAACAGCAUAAGUUUAUUUUAGAGUCCCUAUCGAAAAUAAUAUUAUGACCUCGAUGUUGAAUUAAAGUCUUUCAAUCGUAGCCGAUUAGAACUAUUAAGUCUGUUCGACUUGUUAACUUUACAUGAUUUGAGUUAAGAUCGACGUAAGCCAGAUGGUUUUC